UACGAAGGGUGCAAGCGUUACUCGGAAUUACUGGGCGUAAAGCGUGCGUAGGUGGUUUGUUAAGUCUGUUGUGAAAGCCCCGGGCUCAACCUGGGAAUGGCAAUGGAUACUGGCAGGCUAGAGUACUGUAGAGGGUAGUGGAAUUUCCGGUGUAGCGGUGAAAUGCGUAGAGAUCGGAAGGAACACCAGUGGCGAAGGCGGCUACCUGGACAGAUACUGACGCUGAGGCGCGAGAGCGUGGGGAGCAAACAGG
Molecule: ribosomal RNA, 253 nt
Filed under: uncultured bacterium
Lineage: Bacteria
Description: partial 16S ribosomal RNA
Rfam family: Bacterial small subunit ribosomal RNA
Source: RNAcentral